AACGAACGCUGGCGGCGUGCUUAACACAUGCAAGUCGAACGCGAAAGGGACUUCGGUCCUGAGUAAAGUGGCGCACGGGUGAGUAACGCGUAGAUAACCUGUCUCAUGUCUGGAAUAAUACGCCGAAAGGGGUACUAAUACCGGAUAUUCUUGCUUUUCAUAAGUUAUGCAAGCAAAGGUGGCCUCUGCAUAUGCUACUGCAUGAAGAGGGGUCUGCGUACCAUUAGCUAGUAGGUGGGGUAAUGGCCUACCUAGGCGACGAUGGUUAGCGGGUCUGAGAGGAUGAUCCGCCACACUGGCACUGGAACACGGGCCAGACUCCUACGGGAGGCAGCAGUGAGGAAUAUUGCGCAAGUGGGGGAAACCCUGACGCAGCGACGCCGCGUGAGUGAGGAAGGCCUUCGGGUCGUAAAGCUCUGUCAAGAGGAAAGAAGUGUACAAUGGCUAAUACCUGUUGUAUUUGACGGUACCUCUAAAGGAAGCACCGGCUAACUCCGUGCCAGCCGCCGC
RNAcentral lists this ribosomal RNA (510 nucleotides) under uncultured bacterium. Its description in RNAcentral is "bacterial SSU rRNA". It matches the Rfam family "Bacterial small subunit ribosomal RNA", at positions 29 to 518 of the family's 1533-position model. The record is from RNAcentral.